AUCGCUUCUCGGCCUUUUGGCUAAGAUCAAGUGUAGUAUCUGUUCUUAUCAGUUUAAAGAGAAGGUCUCUUGUUGCCUUUUUGACCUGAUUUUUUGUACUUUCUCGGGGUUUUACUUCCUGGCUCUAUGUGUGGCAGACAGGAAGAGGAAGGAAGGAGCCUGCUAUAG
Small nuclear RNA from Panthera pardus (leopard), 168 nucleotides. Its record names the gene U2. It matches the Rfam family "U2 spliceosomal RNA". From Rfam's summary of the family: U2 is a small nuclear RNA (snRNA) component of the spliceosome (involved in pre-mRNA splicing). The record is from Ensembl. Lineage: Eukaryota; Metazoa; Chordata; Mammalia; Carnivora; Felidae.